UCUGGGACAAGCCCUGGAAACGGGGUCUAAUACCGGAUAACACCGGCUUCCGCAUGGGAGCUGGUUGAAAGCUCCGGCGGUGAAGGAUGAGCCCGCGGCCUAUCAGCUUGUUGGUGGGGUAAUGGCCCACCAAGGCGACGACGGGUAGCCGGCCUGAGAGGGCGACCGGCCACACUGGGACUGAGACACGGCCCAGACUCCUACGGGAGGCAGCAGUGGGGAAUAUUGCACAAUGGGCGAAAGCCUGAUGCAGCGACGCCGCGUGAGGGAUGACGGCCUUCGGGUUGUAAACCUCUUUCAGCAGGGAAGAAGCGAAAGUGACGGUACCUGCAGAAGAAGCGCCGGCUAACUACGUGCCAGCAGCCGCGGUAAUACGUAGGGCGCAAGCGUUGUCCGGAAUUAUUGGGCGUAAAGAGCUCGUAGGCGGCUUGUCACGUCGGGUGUGAAAGCCCGGGGCUUAACCCCGGGUCUGCAUCCGAUACGGGCAGGCUAGAGUGUGGUAGGGGAGAUCGGAAUUCCUGGUGUAGCGGUGAAAUGCGCAGAUAUCAGGAGGAACACCGGUGGCGAAGGCGGAUCUCUGGGCCAUUACUGACGCUGAGGAGCGAAAGCGUGGGGAGCGAACAGGAUUAGAUACCCUGGUAGUCCACGCCGUAAACGUUGGGAACUAGGUGUUGGCGACAUUCCACGUCGUCGGUGCCGCAGCUAACGCAUUAAGUUCCCCGCCUGG
This 727-nucleotide ribosomal RNA is filed under the name Streptomyces sp. RNAcentral describes it as "bacterial SSU rRNA". It matches the Rfam family "Bacterial small subunit ribosomal RNA", at positions 137 to 876 of the family's 1533-position model. Lineage: Bacteria; Bacillati; Actinomycetota; Actinomycetes; Kitasatosporales; Streptomycetaceae. The record is from RNAcentral.